RNAcentral lists this non-coding RNA (86 nucleotides) under unclassified sequences. The record is from RNAcentral.
GCAUCACUGCCACCGGGUAGUAAAUGUUAAAGCAUUUUUUACACAUCGUUAGGUCAUUGAAGAUGUGUGAUAAUGCUUUUUGUUUU